CUUGGCAAGGGAGAUAUCUUUGUUUUUGAAACUUAAUGAAAUUUCUUAUGUGAAUUUAUCCCAUGCAUGUUUAACGAUCUGCAACAAGUAAUUUCAUUAGAAAUAUAAGAAGGAACGGUAAAAAAACAAAACAAAGAAACGAAUGGCCAUAAUAGCAAACAUGUCUGUGAGAAGAAUGAACAUGCCUGCUUUUUCCAAAUUGUUGUCUCAGCACAACCUUUUCCAUUAUGACUUCAGUCUUCAAGUGUGCACUGUAAAAAUAAACAUGGAUAAAAAACUAGGUCUUUUAAUAGAAUUUGUUCUCUUAUCUAAGGGAAUGAAUAGAACUAAAAAGUAACAAUGAGAAAAAUACCUGCAGUUGUGAUAAAUAUUCUCCAGAUUCAAACUCAAAAGUUAAUUCUACACACUACAAUAUUUGCAUUACAAAGUGCAAAACUAGUACUUUUUCAAAAUGAUAUUCAAUAUUUUUUUGUGAAAUCCAAUUUCCUCAAUAAAAACAACCAAGCAUAUAUGGAAGUCAUAAGUUACACUUAAAUUGAUCACAUAUAGCAUAACCAAUUACAUAUCGAUGCAUUAAGAUCAAGCAAGUUAUAAUUUUAAUAGUGUUAUACAUCUUUAUUCCAUUGGGAAAUUUCAUAAGUAAAUCGACAAAUAUUACGCAAAAUAUGUCAUCACCAGCAUAAAUUUUGUAUACUUUUUCUUGAUCCUCAUCUGUCCAGCUACUCUGAUUGAUCAACUAUAUAAUAAAAACAAAAUAAAAUCAGUCUAUAAUAAAAUAAAUCUAUAAUAAGAUAAAAUAAAAUUAGCAUAUUUUAAAUAAACAUACAUUAAAAAUUUCAGGAUGAGCAUCCAUAUUUCUAAUAAAUGCUAUCAAGUCUCUAUAAUUGUCUUGAUAAGAACGGUUACGUCGAAAGCUAUUAACUUUUCUAAAUAAUUCAUGAUUGACAUUGCUAAUUCAUGUUUUCUUUAUAUCAUGGAAACAGUCAGAUAUAUACCUAACUCUGUAAAAAUAAAAAUAAAAGAAUUGAUAUUAGUUUAAAAGUUCAACAAAUAUAUUAUAUUCUAUUAUUAAUUUAAAAUACCUAUAUUCAUGACCAUAUAUCUUAAAAUGUUCAUUCAACUUUUUCAAAGUCUUCACUUUUUUUGUAUGUGACCACAAUGUUGGAUGAUUUGAAAGAACAUGGAAUAUUCUACAAUUAAAAAUAAAUAUUAUAUGAAUAUUUCAUUUUUAAUAUAUAAUAUAAAUUAAAAAUAAAUAACUUACGAGUUACAUUUUUUUAUGCUUCCAAAGAAAUGUGUAAAAGAACUUCCAUAUUCUUGUAAUGACAACCGUCGAUGAGCAUACAAAUCAGAGAAAAAUUCAUCUAACAUUGGUAUAAAUUCGUCUAACAUUGGUAUCAUUUGAGAUAAAUUCUAAUUUUAAAAAUCAAACUAUCAAGAUCAAACUAUAAUAAAAUUAUAAAAUAAAAAAUAUACCUUUAAAUUUUAAAUCCAUAUUUCUAAUAAACGUUAUCAAGUUUUUAUAAUUGUCCUGAUAAGAACGGUUACGUGGAAAGCUAUUAACUUCUCUAAAUAAUUCACAAUUGACAUUGCCGAUCCAUGUUUUCUUUAUAGCACGGAAAUAGUCAGAUAUAUACCUAACUCUGUAAAAAUCAUAGUCAGAUAUAUACCUAGGCGUCGCAUAGGCGGUCAUGCGCUCCAGGUCGGAUCCGCCUAACUCAAUAACCCAUUUAAAUGACUUAAGUCAUUUAAAUAAGAGGGUGAGGGUUUAAAAAACCUUAACUCCUCUCUUAUUUCUUCUUUCUUCCUCUUUUCUUCCCUUCCCUCCUACAUUUGAACCCCAAACCCUAGAUUUUCAGAUCAUUUCCCCCAUUCAUUUUCUCCGGCCAUCUUCUAGGGAGACUUCGGCCACCACAAGGGAACACUCCGGCGACCUCCACACGUGCUCCGGCGAAGUCCAGGCAUGCUCCGGCGACCCUCCGGCCAUCGUCGACCUAGGUAUUUUUUGUCCCAAAUUUUUUUCCUAUGUGCCCUCUAUCUGUCCAAACCUAUAUCUCACUCCGGACAGUCAUAAAUCGCACUCCGGCACUCUUAAAGAACACUCCGGCGAUCACUUAAAAAAACACUCCGGACAGCAAUUAAUUUACCUCUGUCCAGCCACAUUAAAAUCACUCCGGGCAGCAAUUUAAUCACUCCGGACAGCAAUUUUACAUUAGAUUUUUGAAGGUAAAAACCUAAUAUUUAAAUUGUAAAUUUAUUUUACAAUUUACAUACCUAAAAUCUAACUUAGAUUGUUGGAUUGUAUUUAUUUUUAAAAUUUUCAGAAAUGUCGGAUGAUGAAGAAUACGUUCCUCCCUCAAACGAAGAACAAAUAGAGGAAAACAAAGUGAAGUGGCACUCUUCUUUUUCCGAAGAGACGAUUAAUAACAAGGCGAAUCGACCGAAAUCCGAUGAUACCGGAUGGAAAUACGGUUUCAUGGAAGAUCGAACAAAUCAAAACAAUGUUCGAUGUCUUCUAUGUAACUUUCUUUCCAAGGGUGGAAUAGGUCGGUUGAAGGGUCAUCUGACGGGAGGAGACAAGAACUGUAUCAAAUGUCCAAAUGCCUCGAGAUUUGUCUCAAAGGAGAUUGCGGACUAUGUCUCCAAGAAGAAAUUAGCGGCUAGCAAACGCAAGGACAAGCUACCAUUUAUUCCAGAGGUUGAUGCCAUCGAUUUAGAUGACCCUAGCAAUGAGCGAACAUUGAAGAGGAAGUUGACGGUCUCCGGUUUCGUUUCAUCGUCUCCAACCUCCUCCGUACUUGGUCCAUUAAAUUUGAAGAAAGGGAAAACUAUUCAUGAUAUCGUCCGGAAAAGGAAGAUCGAGAAACAGAAAUCCAUCGUCGAAAUUGCCAAAAAAGAAGACAAAAAAAUGGUCGAUCAUAUCUUCUCAGGUUGGAUGUACGCAGUAGCUAUGCCAUUCAACCAAGCUCAACAUAUUGAAUGCUUAACGACUUGUGAAGUCAUUGGACGAUAUGGUCCUGCAUACCGGCCUCCAAAUAUGACUCAGUUGCGAGAGUCUUGUCUAGAAAGACUUGUGGGUGAUAUCGAUGCGAUGAGAGCCAGGCACGAGAUAAAGUGGAAAACCAAUGGUUGUACUUUAUUGUCUGAUGGAUGGACAGAUGCCAGAGGAAGAAACCUAAUGAACUUCUUGGUGAAUUCGACCGAAGGAUCGUUCUAUCUUUAUUCCAUAGACACCACUCAUGAAAGAAAUACAGCUUCUUACAUUGCCAAGGCAUUAGAUAAAGCUAUGCAAGUCAUCGGCCCGAGUAGUGUGGUUCAGAUAUGUACAGAUAAUGCGGCGAACUAUGUUAGUGCCGGUGAAAUAUUGAUGAACAAGUACGACCAUUUAUUCUGGACACCGUGCGUAGCUCAUUGCUUGGAUCUGAUUUUGGAGGACAUUGGGAAACUGCCAAAGUACAAGAAGAUGAUUUCUGAUGGUCGCAAGAUAGCGACCUACAUCUAUGCCCAUGGUGUUCUCCAUAGCAUUUUCUUGACCAUAUCAGGUGGGAAAGAGUUGGUGAGAUGCGGAGUCACAAGAUUCGCAACGUCUUUUCUCACAUUACAAAGUUUGAAAGAACAGAGGGAAAAUUUGAAGAAGAUUGAUUGGCUACCAUGGGCUAAUGUGACUUGUGGAAGUGAAGUGCAAAAAUUAGUCUGGACCAACUCUUUCUGGUUGAGCCUAUACGAGUGUUUGGCCGUUUCUGAACCUCUAGUGAGGUUGCUGAGAUUAGUUGACCAAGAUGACAAACCAUGCAUGGGCAGAGUUCUGAAUGACUUGAAGAUGGCAAGGAAGCACACUAGAGAUAUGUUGAAAGACAAGAAUCUGUCAUUGCUAACCCAAAUUGACAAGAUCUUCGAUAAGAGUAGGUUUGCUGAAAUGCUUCUCCCAACGCUUAACCCGGAUUUCGGUCGAUUCGACAAGAUCCGACCCGGAUCCGCCUAACCCGCUCCAGCGCAUGAAGGCAAAUGCCUACAUGCGUUGGAGCGCAUGACCGCCUAGGCGUCGCAUGAAAAACUAUGGUCAUGACCAUCGACCACCGCAUGAACACAUGAAAAAGCUUGGUAAAAAUCAAGGUUUAAAAACCGACGGUUAACCGGCUGACCGGUAAAAAAUUAAAAACCGGUGGCCGGUUAAUUGGGACGGGUAAAUGGGUUGAUGGGUCGGGUCUUACCCGAACCCAACCCGAAUACCCAACCCGGUUUCAAUAAAAUAAUAUUUAUUUAAUCUGUUUUAAUUUGUUUUUUUUAAAGACUUCAUUUAAUAAAGCCCAUUACGUUUUAUUAAUAAGUUAUUUUAAGGCCUCAUUUAAAGGCCUUAUUUUAAUAAGUUUAAAUUUUAUAAGCCUCUCCUUAUAAGUUAUUAGACCUCAUUUGAAUUACUAUUUUGAAUGACUAUUUUGAAUUACUAUAUUGUUUAUGAUAUUUUUAUUUAUAUAAACAGGGAUAUAAACAUGGAUAUAAACAUGGAAUAGAUAUAUAAGUAUAUAACAGAAUUUCUGUUUUAAAAAAAAAAUUACGAAAAUACCCCUAUCGGUUAACCAGUGGUCUAACCGGUAAGCCAGAACCGAUUACCGGUUAAACGGUUUUUAAACCUUGGUAAAAAUAAAGAUAAAAGAAUUGAUAUUAGUUUAAAAGUUCAACAAAUAUAUUAUAUUCUAUUAUUAAUUUAAAAUACCUAUAUUCAUGACCAUAUAUCUUAAAAUGUUCAUUCAACCUUUUCAAAGUCUUCACAUUUUUGUAUGUGACCACAAUGUUCAAAACAUUGAAUAUUCUGCAAUUAAAAAUAAAUAUUAUAUGAAUAUUUCAUUUUUAAUAUAUAAUAUAAACUAAAAAUAAAUGACUUACGAGUUAAAUUUAUUUAAGCUUCCAAAGAAAUGUGUAAAAGAGCUUCCAUAUUCUUGUAAUGACAACCGUCGAUGAGCACACAAAUCAGAGAAAAAUUCAUCUAAUAUUGGUAUAAAAUCAUCUGUAUCAUUUGAGAUAAAUUCUAAUUUUAAAAAUCAAACUAUCAAAAUCAAACUAUAAUGAAACUAUAAAAUAAAAAAUAUACCUUUAAAUUUUAAAUUCAUUGUUGACGAUAACGUUGUAAUAUAAAAAGUCCCUUUUUGACGAAAAUAGAAUUUGUUGUAAGCUUAAUCGGGAACAUUUCAUUACUUUCAGAGCGAGAUAAUCCAUUGAAAAUAUUUCUAUAUAAAAAAAAUCGAUUAAAAAAAAUUAACGUUAUAUAAAAUUAUGUAAUAAAAUACCUUAAUAUUUCACUCAAUGCGUUAUAAUAUGCAUCUUUUACUUCUUUCAGCUCUUCUAUAUAUCUGUAUAGGGUUAUUGUUUUUGGAUAUAUAACAUAAGUAAUACAUUUAUGCACGAAUGUAUCAAAUACUAAUAGACAGUUUUUCAUAUAAAAAAAUUGUUCAGAAGUAGAUAUUUUUAUACCAUCGAUAUUUUUUAAUAUAUAUCACUGAAAUACUCCGACUUCCGCAUUUUCAGUUAUAAGAAGAGUUGAAUAAACAUAAGCUGAAGCUGUUUGACAUAAAUACAUGGCAUUAACCUAAAUAUAGAUUUAAAUAUGGAAAUAAUAAUAAAUAUAUAAAAUAACUAAAAAAAUCUAUUUUUUUAUUUUUUUUGAGAAAUUAAAACUUUCAUUACUGAAAAGAGGUUGAGUAUGGCCCAAGAUUACAGAAUAAUAUAGGGCAAUGCAAGUACAGUAAAUGUAAAAAUAUUGUCCAUCUCUUAUGCAGCUAUGACCUUGACUAACUGGCCAAGGAUUGAAGCUUCAAGAGGUUGGACUCCCAUGAGCGUAUAGCUUGUAUUUCAAUCUGUGAAAGAUUGUGCUUUUUAUAAGAUGUAGAAUCAUAUGUAAUGCUCGCAUCCUUUAUAAUUUCUCUGCUGACAAUUUCUGGAGGCCUUAGGGUGUGUUGUUUUAAUCUUCUAUUCCUUUCACACCAUAUGUGUCAGGAAAGAGAUGCUAGCAUAGUCCAGUGUACCCCCGAACAACUGGACUUGUGGGUGAAUUUUUGUAUUGUUUUCAUAAUAUCCCCUAUCCUAAUAUCUAUUGUGGGAGGUGGGGAAUUUUACCCAUUAAGUGUCCAAACAACAUUGUUAAACCAGCUAGUGGUCUCUAGUGUAAUGGCAGUUAAAGUAUAGGUGUUGUAAUGUUUCUUCCUCAUUUCCACAUAGUGGGCAGGACGUAUUUAUGUUGAGUCCCCACCUUUGCAGUCUAGUUAAAGUGUUCAAACUCUUGACCUUAAUUCUCCACAACAGCAUAAAAAAAUUUGGAGGCUUUUUGGCCCAGGUCCCUAGAUUUAUCUCUUGUAAGAUGCCUUUGGGCCUUAAUGUUUCUGAGUGCAUGGAGGAGGCAAUUUGUGUGACCCUAUAGUUACUCAAGCAGUUUAUACAUUUCCUUAUUGUUUCCUUAUUAGCUAGUAUAGUUUUCCACAUGUGUGAGUCCAGAGUAGGCCUACACUCUAUGUCCCCAAUGCUUCUUCCUUUGAUGUACCUAAUUUUUACCCAGUCUGCUAGUAUGGAGUUAUUAGGACUCCACAUCCUCUCUGUUUUUUUAACCAAAGCUGCAGCAUUAGUUGCAAAGAAAUCCCUGGCCCCUAUUCCGCCUUCGAUCUUUGGGAGUGCCAUUUUUGCCCAACUACUCCCUCUUCUCUCGUCCCAAAUGAAAUUGUAAGCUAGGCUCUGGAUCUUUUUAAUGACUGUACAUGGCAGUGUGGUUCCGUUUACCCAGUAUUGAAACUUACCUUGUAGGACCCAAUUUACUAAUUGGGUUCUGCCUGCGUAAGACAGACAUCUCCCUUUCCAUCUAGCUAACAUUUUUUCUAUUGGAUUUAUUAACUUCCAACAUGUCGCGUGAGAUUUCUUUCUUCCUGUUAUUGGAAGACCAAGAUAGUUGAUAGGGAAGGGUUUAGUUGGAAAGUUGAGAAUGUUAUGCAGAUAAUGAUCAUUCAUGCAUACUUUUGAGUAGGUUGCCGAGCUCUUCUCCUGAUUAAUCUCGAGGCCUGAGAAUUUGGAAAAAGUCUCUAGGAUUUUCUUGAUUGUUUCUAAAGACUUGGGAUUUGCUUUUGAGAAGAUCAACACAUUAUCCGCGUACAUGAGAUGCGAGAUGGAAACCACUCCAUUCACGAUAUAAGUAUCCAUCCUUUUAUCUUUGAUCUCUCUCUAUUAGUCUACUAAGAUUAUCCAUUAUCAGGUCGAAUAAGAUAAGAGACAAUGGAUCCCCCUGCCUGAUUCCUCUAAAGUUAGUGAAGGGGGGAGUGGGAGAUCCCUCCACCAGUACCGAAAAGGAGGCUGUGGAUAUACAGUUAUGUACCAAUUUGCACAACAGAGGGUUGAAUCCCAUUGUGUCAAGGGUGUGUGUGAUUGCUUGCCAUUUCACUGUAUCGAAUGCCUUUUUGAGAUCUAUACUUAAACAACAUCUUUUGGGGGUUCUAAUUCUCCCAAAGCCAUGUACCAUCUCGUCUGCCAAGAUAAUGUUAUCUGAGAUGCUUCUUCCUGCUAUGAAAGUUGUUUGGUGAUGAGAUAUUAACUCGGAAGAGACCUUGGAGAUCCUACCAGCCAAGAUUUUGGUGAGAAGUUUAUAAAUUAAGUUGACACAGGAGAUUGGCCUAAAAUCCGAUAAUUCGGUAGUUGUGGGUUUUUUUGGGAUAAGAGUGAUAAAUGUGUGAUUAAUUGACUUCAAUAUGGGUUUGCCGCUGAAGAACUGUCUGACACAAGCUAGGAUUGUUUGCUUUAGUUCCGGCCAGAGAGCUUUGAAGAAACCCACUGUGAAACCAUCAGGUCCUGGGGAUUUCCCCAUUUGAAAUGCGAACAAGGUGGAUUUGACUUCCUCUUCUGUGGGUUGUUGAGUCAACCAUAUGUUCAUAUCUUGAGAUACAAUCCUAGGGAAAAUAACGGGAGAUGGUAUAUCUGGGAAGGGAGAACUCUUGUAGAUAUCCUUAAAGUAAUCCAUACUCCUUUUUUCUAAUUGGGCUCUUGAGAUAACUACCCUACCCUUUCCAUUUAUUAAUUUUAGAGUUGAGUUCUUUGCCUUCCUUAUCUUUGUAGCAAGACUAAAGAACUUAGUGUUUGAGUCUCCUAAUCUAAGCCAGCUGACCUUGCUCCUUUGUUUUUGGUUAGCCUCCUUUAUUUUGAGUUUAUUGACUAACUCCUCCGGCUUCUUUUUGACCUCUUCUUGGAUAGAAGGAACUAUUGGGCUAGUGUUUAGUUGCUUCACCAAGGAAUCAAGUUCCUCCUUAGUGGUUGUGAUCUGUUUUGCAUCACUACCCUUGGUCGCCGUCCAUUCCUUUGCGAGUAUUUUGACCUCCUUUAAUUUCUGUUGUAGGCAAUAUAGCCCAUUGCCGCAAAUUGGUUUAGCUAGUCCUCUCCUGGCUAGAUCGAGAAACUCUUGCUCCUUCAACCAUGAAUCGAACAAUCUGAAAGGCUUUGGUUUCUGUGCUAUUUGCGCAAUUGAGAUAAGCAUUGCAGCAUGGUCGUUAUGCGAGCCAUUCCAAAACUCUACCCUUAUCUCUGGAAAGAGUGAAAUCUAAUCUUGAUUCGAGAAUGCUCUAUCCAGUCUAGAUUGUACAAACCUAUCCCCUGCCUGCUUAUUAUUCCAUGUAAAUUCCCCCUAUUGAGGGGACCUCGAUUAACUCUGCUAGGUCGGUAGCUUCAAUGAAUUCAGAAGGCUCUCCAUGAACAUAAACCCCAGCCCCUGGUCCUCUCCUUUCCUCUGGAGUUCUUAUUUCAUUGAAAUCACCCAGCACUAACCUCUGGAGUUCUCCUUUCCUCUGGAGAUGAUAUUAGGUUGGAUGUUCUUAACUGUGUUCCACAACGGUCUCCUAGCUUCCCUUGUGUUGUUUGCAUAUACUACGUAGAUAAAAAACACCAAUCCACCCUCGUUGUAUACCUUAGCAUGAAGUAUUUGCCUAUCCAACAAGAUUGGAACCACCUUCCAAUGGUCUUUUUUCCAUAAAAUCAAGAUUGAGUCUGAAUAUUCUUGGUCAUGUGGGAUGUUGUUUGAAAUUACCUCCCACUCCUCCGAAAAAUUGUCUCUUACUGUUUGGAAUUGUUUGGUUUUAACUCUAGUCUCUAAUAGCGCUACUAUGUCUAAGUUCUUUUUAAGCAUCACAUUUUUUACUUCAUUCUGGAUUAGAGGGGAGUUAACCCUCUAACAUUCCAGGUCAUUAGCGCCAUUGUUUGGGACUAAUGACCUAGCGGUGAUGGGAUGGCUUAGUCUAGUUAAUUGCCUGGGUGGCCUUUGCCACCUCUGCAAUUGAGGAAGAUUUUUUGCUCGAUGAAGCAUUCGAAGAGGUGGGUUAGACACUAAGACAUUACAUUACAACACCUAAGGCAUUACAAUCAUGUUUAUAUUUCUUUGAUGGACAAGAUCCUAUCAAAGAAACCCCCGUUUGUUGAUAUCAAACGUCUACCAAAGUAUCCCAUCAAGAGGAAGCCUUCUUUGAGCAAUGUUGGUUCGUCAUCUUCUAGAACCAAAAAAAUCAUAUCGUACGGGAAAAUUAAAGUUGAGUCUUUUAGGUUUUGAAGAGGGUCAAACAUUUGAAGAUAGAGUGAGGUCAAGAAAGACCGAGGAAAAUCGAUAAAGGAUCGUUGCUGAACAUUAUAAAGUUCAAGAUAAAACAAAAUUGUCGUUGAUUGCGGUGCCAAGUUUUUCAUCACUAGUGGUGUUGCGUUCAAUUUAACCAGAAACAUGGAAUUGCAGGAAAUUUAUCAAUCUUUUAGACAAUCUGAAUUUUUGACUACAUUAAAUGACAUUAAGGUUUUAGCAAAAGUUAUUAGACGUUACGGUCUGAGCUACAUUAUACCCUCGCCUUAUUUUCGGAUCUCUUUUGGAGAAAAAAGUUCAGAAUAUUUACAACCUACGGAAGAAACAUGAGGUUCAAUUUGCUAAAUAUGGAUGCAUAUUGAUGAGAGACGAAGAUUGGAGAGUUUAUUGCUAAGGGUCUGUCUAAGGUGAUUGAGACAAUCAGUAAGAAUAAUGUAGUUUAACUGUGCACCGACAAUGCAUCAAAUUAAGUUAGUGCCAAACUCUCUGUGCCGCAUACGUACUGGAUCUCGUACUUGAAGAUAUUGGAAAGUAAAAUUCAUUUCAAUUCUAAAUGAGAUCAAUAUAUUGAACCUAAAGAAGGGGUGCAUCAUGCAGCAGAUUAUAGUACUCAUCUCAUUGCUAAUGAUGAGUUUAAUGAAGAGUGAGAAGGAUCCACUGAUCUGGCUCUUAAAUGGCUUGACCCGAGUCAGGUCAUUCCCACCUCUCAUUAAGAGGAUAUGACCAAAUUGAAUGGUAGGCUUUGAACACGGUAAGUUUACUGUGUUCAACACAGUAAGAUUGGCUCACUGGUCUCAGUAACUAUUGAGCUUGCUGAGCUUCAAGGAUCGAAUCUCACUGUGUACAUUUCCAUCUAGAUUUGCCCGAUGAUAUAUUAUGCGACUCUGGUAUAUCAUCCGGAGGUUUGACAGCUCUACAUCUGUAGAGAGGUACCCUCCGUUAUCAAAAAAAGAAAGAAUAGUAGACUUUGAUGAAGUUCGAUCUAUAUCUAUAUUCAAAAUCAUCUGAUUACAAGGUUUAGGUUGCAUCAUAGCGCAUAGCGUCGACAACCAACGCUAUGGGGAGAUAGCGUGCUAUAGCCCCAAGUGUAAUUUAAAAAAAAAAUUCAGAUAAAUUUUAGUGACCAAAAUAAAAAGUAAAGUCAGACCUUGUUUAAAAAAAAAUUAAAAAUCAAGAUGAGCAUCUGAGCCUAUUUAAAAAUUCAGAUCCUUUUUUUUAAUCAGAUUUGAACAUGAUUUUAAAAAUUAGAAUUAUGAUUCUAAGAAAAUAAAAAUAAAAAAUAAAGAUCAGAAUUCAAUUUUUUUAAAUAAUAAAUUAAUUAAACGGACCAGCGACGAUCACCGGUUUAAAAUGACCAACAGCGUUCAAUUGACCUCGCCGAAUUAGAAUUGCCCAAUGAGGGUUGCUAAGAUGCCACUUAUCAAUGUAGUUCCUUGUUAUUUGUUCCAGUUCUCUGUAGUUCUUGAACUCCUUGUUAUUUGCUUUGAAAUUUGCUAUCCUCCAUCCUCUGUUUGAGUGGUGGAUGUUCUUUGCUGCUACUUGUGGGUGUUUAAAUUUUUUCUAAAAAUGUUGUUGCUUCUACACUAAAAUCCUUGUUGCACUAAUUCCCUUUGUUUGUUGAGAUCCACAUUUUAGCAGAAGUGCCUCCAGACUGUUCCUUCAUUCCUAUUCUCCUUUUCCGACCACCUUCUAGAUAUUUUUAAGGAAUAUUAUUGCCAACUUAACUCUCCAGAAGUCCACUCCUUGUCCAGGUCAUUAUCCACAUUCUCAGAUAUCAACCUAGUGUCCAGUUGGAAUGCCUAUCUUUCUCGUCUUUAAACUAGCCUAUAGCAAGUUUCUCUUCUUUUUCCUCUUGUUUCUCGUAUUUUUCACCAGGAAAACCUUCCUAUUGCAGAAUAACUCCACUUGUAGGAUUACUAAGGGUGUGUAGUUGUCUAAGAAAGAGAGAAUAUACCUCCGAAGAACUUGGUUGGAGUUAACUAUCCUUGGUGGACUCCGACGAGAGAUACCACUUUGGAGGUGACCUUGGGUGGGGCUGGUGGUGUAACAUGAGAUUAUCUAUAAUCGGACAUUUCUGUCGUGUAGUGUGACUGCCCAGUAUUCUUCUUCUUAUUGCACUAUUCUAUUUUUUCUAUUUAUCUGAAUAUAAUUCUUUAAUCAAACAAAUAAGUAUGACUAUUUACUAGUCACUGUUAAUAAAAAUAAUGAUAUUUAACGGAUUUCUUGCUCUACAUUCGAAGAUUAACUACCACACACAUCCGGUUAGACUUCCCUUGUUGGAAUCCACUAAAACCGAGCUGGGGUUAGCAUCUGCAAUUGAGGAGACACAAUUGCAGAGAGAUAUGGCACUGCUAACAACUCAAGUAGUAGUGAAUUGAGUGGAUUGGUUUUUCUGACAAAAAGAUACGAUGUUAAAUAGCCUCACCUGGGUUUUUUUCACCUUCCCACUAUUAAAGAUCAUCACAAUAGAUGAUUAUCAACAUAUAUUGGACAAACAUGGAAUAUCUCUUCCCUAUCAACAGAUGAUCGUAGAUAGAGAUAAACAACUUCAUAGUUAAGGAAUGUAACAUAAUGUAACAAGAUGGAAGGAACCAAAGGUCUUCCACAGAAUGUAACUAUCUAUAAACAUAAGGGAAUGAGAGAAAAAAAUAGUAAUCAGUUUUACCACCAUAUAUCAUCACUAUCAUUCAUAUCUUGGUGCGGACUUAGGUACGAGGACAUAUCCUUGAAGAUAAUGGGAAUGAGAAACUCGAACGAUAAUUAGAUUAACAAAAAAGAAGACAUUUUUUUCACUAUUUUAGAGAAUAUCUAUGAAAAUGUCCAUUAAAAUUUCAAAAUAAAUGUGGAAAAAUGAAAUGACAAUAAAUAAAUAAAAGUUACCUUUUUAAUUUUAAUGUUUCCAUAAAAUAUCAACAAAUGAUGGUUGAACAAAAUUUGAUCUGUACAUGACAGAAGGAAGUUUAUCAAGAAAAAAUUAAAAAAGAAACACUGAAACACCAAAUCCUAAAUGAAUAAAAUAGGAAAAUCUCCAUCAAAUCUCUUUCUUUAAGUAAAUAUAUAUCUAUUUCUUGAAUAUAUAAAUUGAUAUUAUUAUAACUAUUUAGAUCUCUUCUCUCCUGAAAAUCCAGAGGUAAUUCCAGAUCUACGUCUAACCCCAACUCCCAAACUCUAACAUUUGAAAAAGGCAUCGAUUAGAAAAAUAAUUAAAAGAGGGGAAGAUCAGUGUCGGUGGAAAAUGCAGCAGCGGUAAUAAAAUUAAAUACAGAGACACGAUAUGGGAAAGACGAAUAUCGGUAAUAAAAUUAAGAACAGAUCUGAUUUAACCUUUGAAUUUAUGGCAUCGGUGGUGUAUCGACGAAUUUGAGAUCUGCAACACCCUCCUCCUCUGGUUGAGUUGUGCAUUUUCCUGAGUGAACUUGUGAAGAGUGAAAAGUGGGUUUUAUCAUAUAUUAGGGUUUUGAGACGUACAGGUUGGAUGAUAAUAAUAAACUUUUGGUGUUGGGACGGACGGGUUUUAUUAUAAGAUAAAUCCACUGGGCUUGGGCUUGGGCGUUCGUGAGUUUGGAAAUUUGAACUAUUG
RNAcentral lists this long non-coding RNA (13163 nucleotides) under Zostera marina. RNAcentral's name for it is "long non-coding RNA (ZMAR_LNC001096)". Lineage: Eukaryota; Viridiplantae; Streptophyta; Magnoliopsida; Alismatales; Zosteraceae. The record is from RNAcentral.